CUGGCCGUCUGCAGCGUGAGUGCAAGCAAUCUUAGGAAAGACCAUACAGCGUGAUACACUUCGUGUCUGGUGUCAAAAAUCUGCAUGUUAGUUACUGCAGUUGAACUACGAGUAGAGCUGGGCAAAAGUGCGCUAGACAGGCGGGAAUCCCACCCCUGGCCUGUCAUGGAGAGGGGGAACUAGCGACCAUCCCCGACAGGCUAGAAAAAAGCUGUGUGUGUGGGGACAGAGCACUUCACCCUCGUGUUGUGUUUGACCGGCUCAGUGGCGUCAUGCACAGACAGGCAGUCUUUGGAUGGCUACACAACAGGUGGGGAGGGAGCCCUGAGAGUGCUCUCACCUGACAGAGUGGCAUGCGGAGUGUAGGUCAUGCCCUCCCAUAAGUGAUUUGUUUACCUACGACCAAGGUGAAGGAGAGUGUGAGGUCUGUGGAUAAACACGCCGAAGGAGGAGGAUUUACCAUCGCUCACCGACUAGGAGACGGAGGAAGACAAAGGCGAUAAACUUGAGGCUAUUUUGGUGUAUGAUGACAUCAACAUCUUAUUGGCCUGAGCUUCUGUUAUGUCGUCUCUACUGUACGUCACUGUCAUCCGGCAUCGUCAUUCAUCAUCGUCGCCUCAUCCCUGUGUUGCCAAGGUUAUCUCGCCCUCAGGAUGCCUCGUGACAAAUGGAGAGCUGAGCAAGAUGAGUGUCAGCUGCCAGGGACAGGUGUCAGGAGCAGGAGGAAGGACAGAGCUAUUAGAGGGCAAUGUCAUUAACCACUGGAGUGACUUACUGGGUGCUGUAUGGCUGUCAAGAACAUCCUGCGGCGGGCUGUGUGGUGACUGCUACAUGCUGGGAGAAGACUUAGAACACAGAUCAACUGCUAGACUGUAGAUCUGCAGGAACUGGACGCAGACUAACGAAGCAGAAACUGGUCAUUGGUGAGACAAGAAUAUCUAGCACGAUAUAACUUCCAGCUCAGCGAUGUAGCAGAAAAAGAGUAACGAAUGCUCAUCAAGCCAGGGACAAGGUGGUGACUGAAGUGUCUUAAUAUUCCUUCCAUCGAAAAGUGAUGUGUCGUGCAAGAAAUCAAAUGCAAUUAGGGAAGCAAAUUAAGGAGAGGAAAAUGAAAUUGUUCACCUCCUUACCAUGAUGGACAGACGACAAGGGCCAAACAUAAGGAUUUACACACUGCAAGCGUUGAACAAGGUUCGUUUUGCCCCGUGUGGUGUUGGAGCCAUAACAAGAAACAUCGGAGAACGCGCCAGCCUCAAGGUACUCCAAAGCUUCCUCGGCAAGACUCCUCUGCCUCAGGUCUUGUUGCGCCACUGAAUACAGUAUCAAUGAGACUAACAAGAACAGAAGACCGACUUGAAGAAAUAAGUUAUAAUUAAAGAUCUUUAUAAUGUGUAAUCUUUUGCUUUAAUAAAUUGAAAACAUCCCUAUUUCUUCUAAUACAUUUCAUAUAUAAGUUUUGUUGCAAUGAUAAAACUAAAUCAUUGAGAAUAGCUGCUUUAUAUCAACAUUGGAUAACAUGUCUGAAUAUAAUAGAAUAUUGAAACGCUGAAACAAAGCUAAAAAGUAAUGAGUCUGAAUAUUCUUUAGAAUUUUCAGGAGAGGCUAACUUGUGUACUUUAUAGAUAAACAAAUUUAUAAAUAC
RNAcentral lists this long non-coding RNA (1642 nucleotides) under Portunus trituberculatus (swimming crab). RNAcentral's name for it is "uncharacterized LOC123515597, transcript variant X2". Lineage: Eukaryota; Metazoa; Arthropoda; Malacostraca; Decapoda; Portunidae. The record is from RNAcentral.